This 488-nucleotide ribosomal RNA is filed under the name uncultured bacterium. RNAcentral describes it as "partial 16S ribosomal RNA". It matches the Rfam family "Bacterial small subunit ribosomal RNA", at positions 30 to 507 of the family's 1533-position model. The record is from RNAcentral.
AUUGAACGCUGGCGGCAUGCUUUACACAUGCAAGUCGAACGGCAGCACAGGGAGCUUGCUCCUGGGUGGCGAGUGGCGAACGGGUGAGUAAUGUAUCGGAACGUGCCUGGUAGUGGGGGAUAACUACUCGAAAGAGUGGCUAAUACCGCAUGAGAUCUUUGGAUGAAAGCGGGGGACCUUCGGGCCUCGUGCUACUGGAGCGGCCGAUAUCAGAUUAGGUUGUUGGUGGGGUAAAGGCCUACCAAGCCUGCGAUCUGUAGCUGGUCUGAGAGGACGACCAGCCACACUGGGACUGAGACACGGCCCAGACUCCUACGGGAGGCAGCAGUGGGGAAUUUUGGACAAUGGGCGCAAGCCUGAUCCAGCAAUGCCGCGUGCAGGACGAAGGCCUUCGGGUUGUAAACUGCUUUUGUACAGAACGAAAAGUCUCUGGCUAAUAUCUAGAGAUCAUGACGGUACUGGAAGAAUAAGCACCGGCUAACUACGUG